GUCUGAAGAAGGCCUUCGGGUUGUAAAGGACUUUUGUUAGGGAAGAAAAGCCGGGUGCUAAUACCACCUGGUGCUGACGGUACCUAAAGAAUAAGCACCGGCUAACUACGUGCCAGCAGCCGCGGUAAUACGUAGGGUGCGAGCGUUAAUCGGAAUUACUGGGCGUAAAGCGAGCGCAGACGGUUAAUUAAGUCAGAUGUGAAAUCCCCGAGCUCAACUUGGGACGUGCAUUUGAAACUGGUUAACUAGAGUGUGUCAGAGGGAGGUAGAAUUCCACGUGUAGCAGUGAAAUGCGUAGAGAUGUGGAGGAAUACCGAUGGCGAAGGCAGCCUCCUGGGAUAACACUGACGUUCAUGCUCGAAAGCGUGGGUAGCAAACAGGAUUAGAUACCCUGGUAGUCCACGCCCUAAACGAUGACAAUUAGCUGUUGGGACACUAGAUGUCUUAGUAGCGAAGCUAACGCGUGAAAUUGUCCGCCUGGGGAGUACGGUCGCAAGAUUAAAACUCAAAGGAAUUGACGGGGACCCGCACAAGCGGUGGAUGAUGUGGAUUAAUUCGAUGCAACGCGAAGAACCUUACCUGGUCUUGACAUGUACGGAAUCUCUUAGAGAUAGGAGAGUGCCUUCGGGAGCCGUAACACAGGUGCUGCAUGGCUGUCGUCAGCUCGUGUCGUGAGAUGUUGGGUUAAGUCCCGCAACGAGCGCAACCCUUGUCAUUAGUUGCCAUCAUUAAGUUGGGCACUCUAAUGAGACUGCCGGUGACAAACCGGAGGAAGGUGGGGAUGACGUCAAGUCCUCAUGGCCCUUAUGACCAGGGCUUCACACGUCAUACAAUGGUCGGUACAGAGGGUAGCGAAGCCGCGAGGUGAAGCCAAUCUCAGAAAGCCGAUCGUAGUCCGGAUUGCACUCUGCAACUCGAGUGCAUGAAGUCGGAAUCGCUAGUAAUCGCAGGUCAGCAUACUGCGGUGAAUACGUUCCCGGGUCUUGUACACACCGCCCGUCACACCAUGGGAGUGGGGGAUACCAGAAUUGGGUAGACUAACCGCAAGGAGGUCGCUU
RNAcentral lists this ribosomal RNA (1058 nucleotides) under Snodgrassella alvi. Its description in RNAcentral is "bacterial SSU rRNA". It matches the Rfam family "Bacterial small subunit ribosomal RNA", at positions 401 to 1455 of the family's 1533-position model. Lineage: Bacteria; Pseudomonadati; Pseudomonadota; Betaproteobacteria; Neisseriales; Neisseriaceae. The record is from RNAcentral.